CAGCCACAGCCACUAGAUCCAAGCCACAUCUGUGACCUACACCACACCUCAUGGCAAUGCCAGAUCCUUAACUCGCUGAGCGAGGCCAGGGAUGGAACCCACAUCCUCAUGGAUACUAUUUGGGUUCAUUACUGCUGAGCCACGAUGGGAACUCCCAGGUAUUUGGUUUUUUUCCAUGAGUUUCUGGUUGGUUCUAAUGACCUAAGUGGGCGUGGCUAAUCUCAGCAAGGCUAGUUGGUAUGUCUACUCUCUGCUGGGAGGCUGGUGGUUCCAGGAUGGCUUCUGCUGGGAUGACUUGCCUCCAAUCCAUGUGUCUCUUAGAUGCCUCUUCAGGGUAGCUGGGCUUGUUCUCUCAGCAGUGGCAGGGAUUGAAAAGAGGAGUGGACAGGCACAUGUGCUACUCAUGCUUGUGCUUGUGUCCCAUUUGCUGCUGUCCCUCCAGUGAAAGUAGAUCACAUGGCCAAGUGCAGAGCCAGUGUGGGCACUCAGAGCAACCUAGCCACCACCACUGACCUGCCCUCUGUGGCCCUAGGACUGUCAGCUAUAGGGCCUGGGUUUUAUUGAGUUGACCUGCCCUCUGUGGCACUAGGACUGUCAGCUGUAUGGCCUGGGUUUCGUUGAGUUGAUAUGUCCUCUAUGUCACUAAGACUAUUAGCUGAGGGCUUGGGCUUUGUUGAGUUGGGGGUGCGGAGUAUGGAGCAGUGGUUAAAGUGAAAAACUUGAGAAAACCAAGGAGAGACUGAGAACUGCUAAAGAAGACUGCCCUGAAGGAAAGACAAUAUAAGCUCGAGUGUCUUGGACCACAGCAGUUUCUCUUCUCUGCCCCAGGCCAAGACUGUCAUGAAAUCCCCAGUGACUUGACUGAGCAAAGGUCUUAGGAGGACAUACCCUGGAUCAUGUGCCAGUGUUGCACUAACUGGCUUGGAGUCUUCAAGACCAACUUCCUCAUCUUUAAAAGGGGAAAGAAAAUGCGCAGUGCUGGGCACUGAGUCAAUCUCAGCCUUUGUCAUGAUGGUCAUUAUCUGGGUAAAUGAGGUAACUGGAAGAGUGCAGGGAAUGAAAAAUGAGUGGGGCCAAGAGAUCCAUGAGCAAGGACAGGCAUUGGUAGAGCUGAUUUAUUGACAGUGGGAAAGGGCUUGAUGAAUAUUUAAGCCAACAGUUUCCUGAGAUGAAGAAACACCACUCUCAGGAAGGAUAGGAUUUGCAUACAUCUGGCUGAUAACAGUCUGAAAGAAAAAGCUGAUUGGUGGCUCUUAGAUGGAAGCUGUCCCUUCCCUUUUCCAGGCUUCUAAGGUCAUGUCACCUGGCAGAGGCUUGAUGACAACAGACCUCAGGGGUUGGGUCCUUAGGCUACAGAGAACUAAGGGGUAAUGAUGUCCCAGACACACUUUUUUCUUUAAUAGGGAAAAGCUUAUGUUGGGAGACUGAACAGCCAAGGCAAGAAGAUACACAGCUUCUUCAACAGGAUAGGAAUUCCCAUCGUGGCUCAGCAGUAACGAACCCAAUUAGUGUCCAUGAGGACAUGGGUUUGAUCCCUGACUUUGCUCGGUGGGUUAAGGAUCUAGAGUUGCUGUGAGCUGUGGUGAGGGUUGCAGACAUGGCUUGGAUCCUGUGUUGCUAUGGUUGUGACACAGGCUGGCAGCUGCAGCUCCGAUUAGACCCCUAGCCUGGGAACUUCCAUAUGCCGCAAGUGCAACCCUAAAAAGCAAAAACGAAAACAAAAAACUGGAUAGUCCAUGAGCCAAAUAACAAGUGACACAAAGACCUGAGUGCAGAGAUGUCAUAUAUAGGUGGGUACAUUGUGCCUGCCUAAGGCUGAGGGAGCCAUUCAAAUCACAAACUGUGUAAACAUUGCUCUCUGAGGUUGUGCAGUCCACAAACUGCUCCACAGUACCUGGCCGCCCUGCCAGGUGGGAAAUUGUAAAUUAUUAAGCUAAUGUGGAAAUUCUCCAAUUUUCUUUGGUAUUAGCCCUUGGAAACACUGAAAACUUCCUCUAAACCAGGCUUACUACAACUUGAUGCAAAAUUUGGAAUGGGUGUUUCUACCAAACAAUUUUUCUGAGAAUCUGGGCAGAGAUGAAACUAUAUAUGAUUUCCCAUGCUCUUUUAGAUGACAACAGACCUCCAUUCCAUGGUUGACUUCUCAUCACAGUGGAGUGAAAAUGACACACUGUGUCUUCCCAGCUAUAACACCGCUACAGCAGAUGUGAAUGCUAUAAUCUAACCUUCCCGCAUCUUGAGUUCAAGUCAAUCUAAAGUGCUUCUGCCUCUUCUUCACUUGAACUGCUGAAGUCUAAGAUAAAUGAAGGGUGAUUCUGAUUUAAACAACAAGGGAACUAUCCUAGGGAGUCCUGAUGUGACUUGCCUAAGGCUUCAUAGCCCUUCAGCAGCAUAACUUAUGGGUUUAGAUUCCGAAUACCUGGGAUUCUUCCCAGUGCUCUUUCCAGUGGAAUUUGAAACUAUUAAUAUAUUACUUGGCCCAUGGUGACUAUACAAAGCUUUGUAUAUCCAUUUGUUGUUUAAAUGGAUGAUGAAUAGAGUUGAUACUUGGGAAAAAUACAUCCCAAGGUCCUUUGUGAAUAUUCAAAUGUUCAAAUACUACUAAAGCUAUGAUUCUCAAACUAGGUUAGAAGGAUAGGGAUUCAAUGCCCCCUUGAAAUUUUUGUUGGAAUCAUGAAGAACUGUGUAUAGUUUAAGAAAAUAUAUUGAACAUGUCAAUAGUAUUUUUAAUAUAAGCCGCCGAAUAUAAAGGUUAACAAAAUCUCAAUGGGCGGGAAUAGAGAGAAAAUAAGCUGAGAGAGCCUUUCAAAAGAUAUAAUUAAAAAAAAAAAAAAAACAGCUUGAGUAACUGUCUCCUAAAACAUGUAAUUUUUACCAUAAGAGACAGUAAAUUAUAACUCAAAAUUUUAAGUGACCUGUUCAGAUGUUUGAAUAUUGCAUAAAUAUAGGAUUAAAGUCACAGAUGCGAACUUUUGUUGAGUAAGAUAUUUCACUCUUUAAUUUAUAUGAAAUUUUGGCUUUCUAACUAAGAAUGGUCUCCCGUAUAUAUCUGCAUUAUUUUCACUUCCAUAGAUGUACCAGCAGCCAAAUUGCUUGAGGGAAGAGCAAUUUUAACGGGGAAGAAAAGCUAAUUUUUUUUUUUUGAAUUGCAGUAAAAUUUGGAUGUCUUUUUUGUUCCAAACAGGAAAUUUGAAUGACACAGGCUGGAAUGAUAUCAGAAUUUACUGGUUUAAGGAUCUAUGGAGUCCAGGGGGAGUGCUGGCUUGAUCCAGAUGUCCACACCAUCAUGAGGGCUGUGGCACUUUCUUUCCGCAAUUCUUUCGGUUCUGUCUUCCCCUGUCUGUUGUCCUUAUUUUCAGGAUGGCUUCUCUCUUGACAGCAAGAAGACUUCAAGCAGCUCUGAAGGCUUCCGUCUACUUCCUUGUUGAUAUCCAGAAGUGAGACAGGGAGAGAAUUGAUCUUGAUCUUAACACUUCACUCUGACUUCGGUAGAGUCCAAUGAUCCCAAUUCUCCACUUCUCUCUGAAACUGUGCCCUUUGGAAUGUGAGCUUGCAGUUCCUGCCAUCAUGAAGUGGAGUCUAUUUCUCUACCCCUUGAAUGUAGACCGACCUCAUGACUUGCUUUAGCCGACAGCAUAUGGUAGAAGUGGCAAGGGGCCAGUUCUGAGCAUGAGCCUUAAGAGAAUGGAACAUUUUCACUUUCACUUGGAAUCCUGUGUCCACCAUAAGAACAAGGCUUGGCUACCCUGAUGGGCAAUGAGAGACCACAUGGAGCAAAGAUAAGCCAUCUCAGUAGAGCCCAAACUUGACCAAGCUACAGCCAAACAAUGCCACCCCCAACAUAUAAGAGUCCAGCUAGGAGCAGCCAAGCCACUUCCCGACCUGCAGCUGACCACAGACACAUAGGUAAGAACUGCUCAGGUCAGAAGAACCACACAGCUGACUUGCAGUUAUAACAAAUACUCACCACUUAAAACAACUGAGUUUUGGGGUGGUUUGUUACAUAGCUAAAGGAUACACAGAUCCAAGGUUGCCUUGAUUGUAUUGUUUUAAGUUACUUGGUGCCCCCUAAACCAAUCACUAUUGGUUGAAUCUAUUCCAAUAAAGACCCACCUUGAUUUGUUAUGGGGAAGUAGAAGCAGAAACAUCACAGAUUAUUAGGAAGAGGAUAGGAGAGAGCUGGGCAGUAGGGAUGGACAGGCAACAACUUAUCUACUGCCAUUACUUCAAAAGAGGUCUCAGGUGGGUGACAAUGGAAAGUGAUGAGGCUGAUGAGGUAGUCCCCCUGGGAUGAGAGAUUCUUAGGCAAAAUCCAGCCUCACAGCACAUUCAGAUUAAUUGGCCUACCUCAACAAAAUUACAAGUUACCAACAGCUCUGAAAUUUCCAGUUUCCAGAAGACUCUUGAAACAAAAUGUCAAAUCGGCCAACGUCAAUGUUUUAAGUACUAAUGGUGUCUCAUACUCCCUCUAAAAAAAUAGUAAUAGACCAAAUUUCAUGUCUUUUAUACUCAGAAAGCCUUCAAAGAAGAGAGUUGACUGUAGGAAGUAGUGCACCUGCUCCCAUGAGUAUCCCCUGCAGACUUUCAAGGCCUGUAACUCACACAUCAUUUUCUCUAGGUACCAGGUAGCUGGGGAUUCCUCUUGCAACACUCAUCAGUGAAAUGAAACCACCUUGUAACAACUCUGUUUGGAGUAUAAACAACAUCAAAUUUUGCUUAAAUAUGCUUUUAAAAUUUUCCAUGCUAGAUUUUUUUUUUUGAAAUGCUACUGGAAAGGGAUUAAAAUCAUGCUUAACAUUAAAAAAAAAAAAAAAAAAAGGAAAAGGAAAAGGAAGCCCAUGCAAUGUAAGCAUGCUAACCUGAAAGGUAUAAAUGUUGCAAAAUAAUCACCCGGGACAAAAUCAGCAGCAGCAGUAGGACUCCAAAGGGCAAAGAGCCACCACCGUUAAGAGCAGGGGAAUAGUAUUUCCUUCAACUGGGGGAAGAGAUCAUCAUGGGAUUUCUGCCAUUACAUACCCCCGGCACCUCAUUUUCUCUCGAAUCUCCCUUCUGCUUUUGGAAAAAAAGAGCUAAGGCAUGUGUGUACUGGGAAAAGUGAGCUACAGUCCUGAGAAAAUAAUUUAAUGGCAUUAAAAAAAAAUGAAAGGAUUCAGGCUUUUACUACAAGACAGCCUAUCAAAGCUUAGGGGAAGCCUCUGGCAAUAGAUGAAAGAAGGUGACUCCAAGGAAUAUGGGUGUGAAACUGGCCAAAUAGAUUGGAGGGGAUUUAACAUUAAAAAUUCUGUGGACAUUUAAGUACUUGCUCAUUAAAACUUAAGGACAAUUGGAUUCUAUUAAACAGCUGUAGAAAACAGAGAAGUGUGAAUAAGGGGUUUGCCAUUGUUGACCAAAAAAAAAAAAAAUAUGCACAACCUAAAAGUUGAGAGUUAAGUUUUAUUUGGGGAAAAAUGAGGACUAUACCCUGGAAGGCAGGAUUUCAGAGAGCUCUGAAAUACUGCUCCAAAGAGAUAAGGGAGAAGGUCAUUAUACAUGUGAUUUUGGUGAGGGAGGGACAUGUAACCAAGCACACAUAUUACAAAAGUUAGCUGCUAGCUCCUGAAGGUGUCAACAUGAAAGAUUUUAGUGCUUUUCUAGAUAUGAAGAAAUCCAAGAAUUGGGCUCAUAAGGUCUCCUCCUGAAAUAACUGACUGAAGACCUAUUCUGCCAGUUUUUCCAGAGCACAGAGUGCCUGACUCCUGAUCUCCACCCUGAGCUCCUUUCAGGGAGCACUGAGGGUCAGGAGCUACAGCGGCUCAUGAUUCUAUCCAUGUAGAGGCAGAUGGCAGUGUCCUGUAGUACCUGAAUGUCCUCUCCCUUUACCAACAUGCAGGUCCCAGGGAGUGCUACUCCAACCACUGUCCCGAACUCAGGGUACUCAUUGGCUACCAUAGCCAAAUGGCAAGAUCUCGGUCAAUUCCUUUUCUUUUAUCUCUCUAGAGGUCAUGGGCAUUAGAAAAGGAUGGUCUUAUUUGUUUCAUAUUUAAUGCUUUCUAGCCUCUGUUUCUGCCCAUUGCAGUUGCCUCUCUUACCUCACUGGUCCAUGUGGCUCUUUCUUUCUCUCUGGCUCUCCUUUCUCCCUUCCAUCCUUCCUCUCUUCCUCUUUCUUUUUUUUUUUCACCUUUUUUAUGGCCUCACAGGUGGCAUAUGGAAGUUCCUGGGCUCGGAGUCAAAUUCUACAACACAGCCAUAGCAAAAUCUGUUCAGAGCUGCAUUGGAGAUAAAAUGGUUAGGUCCUUAACCUUCUGAGCCACAAGCAGAAAUCCCCAUAUGGCUGUUUCUGCAUGGACCUGU
This 6330-nucleotide long non-coding RNA is filed under the name Sus scrofa (pig). RNAcentral describes it as "lncRNA (ENSSSCG00000054302.1)". Lineage: Eukaryota; Metazoa; Chordata; Mammalia; Artiodactyla; Suidae. The record is from RNAcentral.